Molecule: ribosomal RNA, 497 nt
Filed under: uncultured bacterium
Lineage: Bacteria
Description: partial 16S ribosomal RNA
Rfam family: Bacterial small subunit ribosomal RNA
Source: RNAcentral
GAUGAACGCUGGCGGCGUGCCUAAUACAUGCAAGUCGAGCGAACAGACGAGGAGCUUGCUCCUCUGACGUUAGCGGCGGACGGGUGAGUAACACGUGGAUAACCUACCUAUAAGACUGGGAUAACUUCGGGAAACCGGAGCUAAUACCGGAUAAUAUAUUGAACCGCAUGGUUCAAUAGUGAAAGACGGUUUUGCUGUCACUUAUAGAUGGAUCCGCGCCGCAUUAGCUAGUUGGUAAGGUAACGGCUUACCAAGGCAACGAUGCGUAGCCGACCUGAGAGAGGGAUCGGCGACACUGGAACUGAGACACGGUCCAGACUCCUACGGGAGGAAGCAGUAGGGAAUCUUCCGCAAAGGGCGAAAGCCUGACGGAGCAACGCCGCGUGAGUGAUGAAGGUCUUCGGAUCGUAAAACUCUGUUAUUAGGGAAGAACAAAUGUGUAAGUAACUAUGCACGUAUUGACGGUACCUAAUCAGAAAGCCACGGCUAACUACGUG